RNAcentral lists this ribosomal RNA (472 nucleotides) under uncultured bacterium. RNAcentral describes it as "bacterial SSU rRNA". It matches the Rfam family "Bacterial small subunit ribosomal RNA", at positions 28 to 508 of the family's 1533-position model. The record is from RNAcentral.
GAUGAACGCUGGCGGCGUGCUUAAGACAUGCAAGUCGAACGCAGACGCUUGAGCAAUCGAGCGUCUGAGUGGCGAAUGGGUGCGUAACACGUAGGUGACCUGCCCCGCCGUGGGGAAUAACAGGCCGAAAGGCCUGCUAAUACCCCAUGCGGACGCCGGGACUUGAGACCCGGCGCCCAAAGGCUUCGCAAGAAGUCGCGGUGGGAGGGGCCUGCGGCCCAUCAGGUAGUUGGUAGGGUAAUGGCCUACCAAGCCGACGACGGGUAGGGGACCUGAGAGGGUGACCCCCCACAUUGGCACUGACACACGGGCCAAACUCCUACGGGAGGCAGCAGUCGGGAAUAUUGCCCAAUGGCCGAAAGGCUGAGGCAGCAACGCCGCGUGCGGGAUGACGGCCUUCGGGUUGUAAACCGCUUUUCGGGCGGACGAGGAAGGACGGUACGCCCGGAAUAAGGUGCGGCUAACUACGUGC